ACUCCUACGGGAGGCAGCAGUGGGGAAUAUUGCACAAUGGGCGCAAGCCUGAUGCAGCCAUGCCGCGUGUAUGAAGAAGGCCUUCGGGUUGUAAAGUACUUUCAGCAGUGAGGAAGGUGGGUAUGUUAAUAGCAUAUUCAUUUGACGUUAGCUGCAGAAGAAGCACCGGCUAACUCCGUGCCAGCAGCCGCGGUAAUACGGAGGGUGCGAGCGUUAAUCGGAAUUACUGGGCGUAAAGCGCAUGCAGGUGGUUUGUUAAGUCAGAUGUGAAAGCCCGGGGCUCAACCUCGGAAUUGCAUUUGAAACUGGCAAACUAGAGUACUGUAGAGGGGGGUAGAAUUUCAGGUGUAGCGGUGAAAUGCGUAGAGAUCUGAAGGAAUACCGGUGGCGAAAGGCGGCCCCCUGGACAGAUACUGACACUCAGAUGCGAAAAGCGUGGGGAGCAAACAGGAUUAGAUACCCUGGUAGCGUAG
RNAcentral lists this ribosomal RNA (473 nucleotides) under uncultured bacterium. RNAcentral's name for it is "bacterial SSU rRNA". It matches the Rfam family "Bacterial small subunit ribosomal RNA", at positions 335 to 798 of the family's 1533-position model. The record is from RNAcentral.